This is a non-coding RNA of Pimephales promelas (fathead minnow), 254 nucleotides long. Lineage: Eukaryota; Metazoa; Chordata; Actinopteri; Cypriniformes; Leuciscidae. The record is from RefSeq and is a predicted model, not a curated record.
UGUUUUUUCUUCUUCAACCACGACGAGGCGAGAAGGACUUGAUGAUCGGGGGCAAUUUGUUGUACAAAAAGUUGACGAACUACAACAAAUCUGCUGUUUGGUGAGGUAAUGCACAAUGAAAAUAGGCACAUAUCUGGAUAGAUGAUUCCUCAACCAUGGCCUCAGCUUUAAAUGGUGACAUAACGAACAGCCAUCUGUCAGACGUAGAAUUCAGGAAUCCUUCUCCAGGCCAUCUGGCAAAACCGAAAGAGGCA